Molecule: ribosomal RNA, 253 nt
Filed under: uncultured bacterium
Lineage: Bacteria
Description: partial 16S ribosomal RNA
Rfam family: Bacterial small subunit ribosomal RNA
Source: RNAcentral
UACGGAGGGUGCAAGCGUUAUCCGGAUUCACUGGGUUUAAAGGGUGCGUAGGCGGGCAGGUAAGUCAGUGGUGAAAUCUCCAAGCUUAACUUGGAAACUGCCGUUGAUACUAUCUGUCUUGAAUGUUGUGGAGGUGAGCGGAAUAUGUCAUGUAGCGGUGAAAUGCUUAGAUAUGACAUGGAACCCCAAUUGCGAAGGCAGCUCACUCCACAAAUAUUGACGCUGUGGCGCGAAAGCGUGGGGAUCAAACAGG